UUUCAGUGUAAGCACCUGCAAAUCACCUCCUACUCACUUGAAAGAAGAGAGGAAAUCGUUUCCAGUCAGAAUCACUGCAUUUACACUUUUUCAGUUCAGAAAGAUGAUUCCCAGCUCUCUACAUGCCAACGAUGGCAGCUGGAGCAAGAACUCGGUUUGGAAUCAAGCAAGAACUCGGUUUGCUGUCACAAACAAGAAUACAAUGGUGUGCUUUGCCAAAGGACCCACCUACAACACUCCUUUUUUCUUUCAUAGAUCUACUUUUCAUUCAUGGGAAACCCUGCUCCUCCACAUCAUACAUUCCUUUGGCUCCUUGGGCAUGCAAACUUUCAAGUGGGCUCUGCUAAGGAAUAAGGAGGAGGCAUCACAGCAUGUAACUUCAACCCACCAUUGGGAUUGCAGAAAGGAGCCGAGCUGAGAAUGGAACCUUUCUUUCCAUCUCUGAUGUUUAAAGGUUCCUUGUCAUCUUCUAAAACAGCUUAUCUGAGCCAAAAUGCAGAGAACAGUUUAUGAAAUUUUGUCCUUUUGAAACAGAGCCCUGAGCUUUCCUCCUACUCAUAUCCAAACCUAAUCUUAUCCCAAGCAACAGCCUCAGCUACUUUGCAGCCCAGACUUCUUCUCAGGUCUUUCCCUGACAUUAAAGGAUUUCUUGUUGUUGUACCACUGUGCAUCUGAAACAGCUGUUGUGUGUUACAGUCCUGUGAGGUAACCUGGUAAAUGAAAACAUAGUGAAUGGCAUACUAAUAUUAUUAAUCUAUUUCUUGUUCCUUCACUGAGGAAAUUUGCAUAAUUAACCCCCUAGAGGUUCUUAUUUAUCAGCAUAACAUUGGUUUCGUUUGCCAUUGCAUUCCAAAUAUUGUUUUGCCCUGGAGAUCUGUUGUGCUAGAGCAGAGCUUCAGAGGAAGAUUUCUAUUCCACAUGCCAAAUGUUGCUAUUAUCCCUACUAGAAUAAUAGGGGAAGGAUUUUGGCUCUAGAUACAUGGAAUUUUAUGAAGAGGCAAUCUAUGCUUUUACACACAGGGUCCCACCUGGAUUAUUUCUUGAGGUGGUGCUCAGAAGAGGGUUGAUCCCAAUGCAAGAGGGGUGAUUCCCCAUCAAUCCCAGUACACUGUUUUGGUAGGAGCAUUGUGUCUCUGGGCAGCCCACUGAUGAGGCAACUUCUUAUGAAAAAGAAGUUCCUGCCCUAAGUAUUGCUUUGAAAGCCAUCCAACAUGGUGUUUCACAGCAAGGAAGGAGAGGUACAUUGUCCCUUUUUUUCUGAUUACAUCACACUGUGUCCCCACUUGAGGCAGGUAAUACAUUUCGGUCUUUUGGUGACGUUAAGUGCCUGCUGCAUAAUUUACAGUACUUUGUUGCUUUGAACAUUUGCAUCCUAAUUACUGUUAAGCAGCAGAUGCCCAAUAAAUGUUGGGAUUACAUGUGUCCUUCCACCAUCUGUCUUAGAUUACUUCAUCUUUGUAGGUAAACUCAUAACAUCUUAAAAGCAGCUGAUCCCCUUCCGGCAAAGUGACUUGGUGUUCCUAUUAAUCACUUUUCAUAACUCAUUGCCUUCCUCACCUAAAUUGCAGGUUGCUCUGGAUGUGCACAGAGCCCUGGAUGUGCACAGAGACCCAACAAGCCCUAUGUAAUGCUGUGCCAGCCCUGUGAAGAGGCAGGGGCAUAGGUAUCCUACGUUGCAUCGCUAUUGACCUCAUGGCAAGUCAAACAGGAAGCCCAAAGCAAGGCAACAGGGCAGGUGAGCAGAUAGACAGAGGAAAAAGCCCUGAGGCUCAGAAGAGUGGGCUGAUCAAGGAGGUGGUCACCAGGAACAGAGGAAAUCCAGACCUAACUGAAGAAAAUCCCAAGGCCGUUUCUGCUUUGAUGGGAGCUGCAACUGCUCCACCAGUUUUCAUCUCUGUCUGCCUCCUCCUAUGUUUUCUCUUCCAUGGGUAAUGUACUGGGGACAGGGAAGGAAGUACCAGGACUACUUAGUGGUAGUUGGCUCCGAUAGUUUAUGUGCUCAUGUACUAAAAGAGCAGAAUUAUCACAUGCCCUUUAAAAAAACACACCUACUGAAUGCACAAAACUAGAGAUGAACAAAAUUGCUGUCUGCUAAUGACAGUAUGGAAGUAGUGGGUCAAAAAACAGCCAGAAAAUGAUUUCCCCAAUUUCCCCUCUAAUAAACCGUAAUCCUGAGCUGAUUUGUUUUUAAGGAGUUCUGGCAUUACUCCAAAGGGCUGCAUUUUCCAGAGAUGAGCUAUCCAUUUCCUCUGGUCUUUUGAACAUGGUUGCAGCUGAACUUUUAAGCCAGAUCAUCCCAAUUUGCCAGGCAUGAGAUUAUUGCUGGUGUGCAAAAUGAGGAAGAGAAUUAAAAAUAACCAUGCCAGUAGCUGUGCAGUCUGUUGGUUUAAGGCUUAGAGGUUUAUGUGUCAUUUGGAAGUACUUCAGUUCCAGAAUAGGCUGUCCACUAAGCCUCUGUUGUAGGGAGACACACAGUACAGAUCUGACUCCUUGCUUUUCACAGAUCAGCUUAGGAUACAGAAGCAUGAAAAAACACUCAGACACUCAUUUUAGAACUGAAUAGGUCAGUGCUUUAACUGCACAUGAUGAAAGCCAGUAGUGUACUUGGGUAUACUUAGCUCAGCUUAGCUCAAAUUAAUUGUAUUAUGCACAUGUUAGGCUGUAUCAUAUAAUGCAGCAUAGCACACGCAUGGUCCUCAAAGGCAGAAAUGAGUGACUCCAGCCACAUAGAAAAGAUGCUGAUGAAAUUUCAAAAAUCAGAUUUCCUGAUGGUUUAUUUAUUUUUGCAAAAAUGCAUUUUUUGAAUGUAAGCAUUUUUAGAUUCUUCCUUUUUAUUGCUGAGCAAAUGCCCUACAUUUAAGUGCAGUUCAUAAACCUUCUGUACCCACUAAUGAGGAAAACGUUUGCAACUCUUAGACACAGGCCAGACAAAGAACCCAGUAGCCAAAGCUGUUCAUAUAUCCCAAGACUCUCUUAUUCCUCAUCUCUUUUUCGGGUAUAUGUGUUUUAAUUCCUACAUAAAGAAAUGGAACUUUCUGUAGUCUUUCAAUGUAAAUUUAGUGCAGGAGAUUUACUUCACAUAUCUCUUGUGAAGUAAAGAGGUUCUUUAAACUAGAUUUGGACACUUUAAAAUAUAUUACCAAUUCAUCACACACCAUGUAACUUAAUGUGUCAUUUUGCAUCCAGAUAUCAGUAGCUUUUCUUAACAUUAAAAGAGUUGCUACGUUAUGGUCAGCCUUCUGUCAACCCAGGUAAAGAGCUAUUCAUUACCUUUUGUUUUUAAUUAUACCUACCUAAGGCCUGGGCCUGAUGCGUUUUGAGCCCAUGGUAACUCUUUAGCAGGCAGUGAUCCUUUAGAGGGGAAAUGAGGAAUGUUUAGCUGUUAAAAACAGUUUUUAGUGGAGCUGAUGUCCUCAAUUAGUCCUUUUUACUUAAUAAUUGCCACUUCUUUUUCCUCUUGCUAGCUAAGUACAUCUUCUUUUGUUUUCUGAGAUGUCCAGAGUGUUAAAACUAAACUUCCUCCUCACCUUGAAUAAUACAAAUGCAGCAGUCACCACUAAACAUCUGGCAAUUACACCUGAAAUAUCCACCAAGGAUUUGCUAUUAUGAUUCUAAGAAGAGGGAAAAACCAUAAGUGGUUGGGUUUGUUGUUAGUAUCCAACAGACAAAAGUACAUCAGUGCUCUUAGGAGAGGACACAGGAUUUCAUAAUCUUUCUGUGUAGAUGAUUUGACUUCUAAUUAUUUAGUUUUUAUGGGCCUCCCCCAACUCUGUUCCUCCUCACCCUGAGCAGAAUGAACACACAUCUUUACAGACCCUGUCUGUUCCAGCCAGCAUCCUGGAAGUGACAUCUGCCCAACCUUUUUUCAAAGCCAGGUACUGUAGCUGAGUUGUCCAGACACUGCUGGUGUCAGGGCACUGGCAGCUCUAGCCAGAAAAGCACACUGGAUGGGUGACAUAGCAUCCACAUGUGUGGGUUAUUUCAAGCAGCUCAGGCAAAAAUACAUCCAUUGUUCAACAGUCCCUAGAACUGUUAAUCUUGUUCCUCUAUGCCAACAGCUGUCCUAUUAAUUGUGUAUUUUUCAUAGACGUAGUUCCGCAAAUUCCAUGUGAUACAUAAAGAUCAAUAAAAAUAAGGUCAUUUAUAAACACCUCCUUCUUUCUCAGCCUCUCUGCCCUGCUCCCAGGAUAUGCCUGUUGGCAGGGUGAACCACCUGUCACAGACUUCGUCCACUUCGUCCACACCAAACGAUAAAGCACUGAGAGGCAUAAUGAUGGUGAGCAGUUAAAAGCAAAAUAAAAGGGAAAAAUAAUAAAAGAAAAGCACCUAUAAACAUAUUGGUGCAUGUAUAGCUCAGCCAACAUGGACUAGAACCACCAAAUACAUUUCUGCUACCUAGUUUAUACUUAUUGAAUGCCCUCAUGUAUUUUCCACAAGUGCUUACCUUCCAUUUCAUUUAACGUAACCCAUUGAUUUCAAAACUUGACGUAGGAAAGGUCUCUCUGGGGCCCCACAAUUAUAGCAAGUUGUGCA
Molecule: long non-coding RNA, 4533 nt
Organism: Chiroxiphia lanceolata (lance-tailed manakin)
Lineage: Eukaryota; Metazoa; Chordata; Aves; Passeriformes; Pipridae
Exons: 3
Source: RefSeq, a predicted model, not a curated record